ACCCCACUGCUAUCGGGAUAGGACUAAGACAUGCUAGUCGAGUGACUCAGGCAAAACGAGUCACGGCACACAGCUCAGUAACACGUGGCUAAUCUGCCCUUAGGACGAGAACAACCCCGGGAGACUGGGGCUAACUCUUGAUAGGUGAAGAACUCUGGAAUGAGUCCUUGCCUAAAAAGAUUCACGUCAUCCUCGUGAACCUGCCUAAGGAUGAGGCCGCGACCGAUCAGGUUGUUGGUGAGGUAAUGGCUCACCAAGCCUUUUACCGGUGCGGGCCGUGGGAGCGGGAGCCCGGAGAUGGGUACUGAGACAAGGACCCAGGCCCUACGGGGCGCAGCAGUCGCGAAACCUUUGCAAUACACGAAAGUGUGACAGGGCUAUCCCGAGUGCCAUCCGCUGAGGAAGGCUUUUACCCAGUCUAGAACGCUGGGGGAAUAAGGAGAGGGCAAGUCUGGUGUCAGCCGCCGCGGUAAUACCAGCUCUCCGAGUGGUGUGGAUGUUUAUUGGGCCUAAAGCAUCCGUAGCUGGCUAGGUAAGUCCCUUGUUAAAUCCACCGAAUUAAUCGUUGGAUCGCGGGGGAUACUGCUUGGCUAGGGGACGAGAGAGGCAGACGGUAUUUUCCGGGUAGGGGUGAAAUCCUAUAAUCCCGGGAAGACCACCAGUGGCGAAGGCUGUCUGCUAGAACGCGCCCGACGGUGAGGGAUGAAAGCUGGGGGAGCGAACCGGAUUAGAUACCCCGGGUAGUCCCAGCUGUAAACGAUGCAGACUACGUGUUUUGGACGGGCACGUGCCGUUCUAGUGCCGCAGGGAAACUGUUAAUUCUGCCGCCUGCGGAGUACGAUCGCAUGAUUGAAACU
RNAcentral lists this ribosomal RNA (857 nucleotides) under uncultured soil archaeon. Its description in RNAcentral is "bacterial SSU rRNA". It matches the Rfam family "Archaeal small subunit ribosomal RNA", at positions 21 to 856 of the family's 1478-position model. The record is from RNAcentral.